UUGCAUGUUAAUUCUGGCUCAAUCAAUACAGUUUUUAUUUCGAAGUUGACCUUUCUGCAUUUUCUUAAGUUUUGAAUGCUUAUAUGCUUCAUGAUUGUAUGCUUGUUGGAUGGAUUAUUUGUUUUAAUUAAUUAUCUUUUGGAUGUUUAAAAUCAUGAAUUGUGCAUUAAAUUGGCUCUUGAGAUGUUUCGGGAUCACAAAAUGAUCACGGAAUUGAUAGAAACAAGCCGAAAAGCAAGUAGAGUGCAAGUGGACAGCAACCAGGCGGCUAGCCGCUUGGAAAACUGUCCCAAACCCGAGAGCAAGCGGCUAGCCGCUUGGUCACUGGUUGGGAAAUUUUUUUUUGCUUGUUCUUCUUCCUUCGUGAUUUUUCUGCACAUGUUUCUCUUCUCUCACCAAAACCGUGAACAUCCUCUCCAUUUUCACCUCCAUUUUCUUCCUUUUUCAUCCAUUUUCAUGCCCAAAUCAACCAUUCAAACUAAUACCCAUGCAUUUCAUCUUCAUUAAACACUUCUCCAUCAUGAUUUCUUCACUUAUUUUUCACCAUUUCAUCAUCAUCUCUCACGAGUGAACAGUACCUCACCAUUUCUCUCUCAAAAUUCUUCAUCUUUCACUCAUUUUCUUGUUAAAAUCAAUCAUCCAAAUCAUUAUUCAUCCAUUACUCCUUCAAUUUUCGUUCUCAAAACUUCAUUUCAUCAACUCUCCACAUUAAACCCAAAAUCAAAAACCUAACUCUACCCGUUUCUCUCUCUACAUUUUCAAGCUUCCUUUAGCCCAUUUUUGAUCCAAUCUAACUCAUAUGUUAGCUUCAUUCAUCUCUAGGAUCAAUUUUCUUGGCUCAAACAAAUCCAUUUCACUCAAUUUUUGUUAAACCCGAAAUUGCAUAUUUAAGCUCUUUUUAAUCCACUUUUGAUCCAAUCAUCACCAUCCAUUAUCUUAAAUCAUCUCUUGGAUCAAUAUAAUCGGUUUAAAAUCAUUCAUUUCACUCAUUAUUUUACAAAACCGAAUUUGUGCAUUUUGGGUAUAUGCACCUACAUUUUCAUAUGCAUAAUUAUGGAUUGUGGAUGAUGGUUGUUUAAUAUUUGGAUAUGUUAUAUUUGGAUGAUGUUUUAUGCUUAAGUCUUAUGUGUUGCUUGAUAACUUGGUGGAGUUGUUGGUUUGUUAUACUUAUUAAACCUUAUAUGGAAGUGUUUUUAACUAUGUUGUGUAUUUGAGGAUUUGUCCAUUUUAAGGGGAGACUCUGACGAAAUUUUUUCUCGCACAAAAUUGGUAAUAUCUUUAUCGAAUUAUUUUUGAUGCUUUUGUUUCAAUUGUAUCUAUCUAUUUUUUUAUGAUAAAGGGGGAGAUAAAAAUGAUAUGUUUUUGGAUAAUAUGCAUUUUGGAUAAAUUUUUUAAUUGGCCAUAUAUUUAGGGGAGCAUAUAAUAUGAUUUUGGAUAAUAUGCAUUUUGAGCAUUCUUUUGAUGGCAUGAUGGUUCAUGAUCAUUUAAUGGUUAAUUGGAUGUUUGGUUAUUAUAUAUAUUUUUUUUAUUAACCAUUGACAUAUUAUUGAUCUUAGCAUGAAUUUCUAAUAAUUUUGAUGAUGAAGGGGGAGAAGUCAUGUAUUUUGAAUAUAGAGACAUAUAAUAUGUAUUUUGAUAUUGAAGUAUUUAUGAAUGGUUUUGAAAUAUUAAGGGGGAGUUUUUGUUUUGAAUUUGAUUUAUAUGUUUAAUUAUAUAUGCCAUGUAUUAAGGGGGAGUAUAAAUGUCAAAAUACAUGAGAUGUUUGUCAUCAUCAAAAAGGGAGAGAUUGUUAGCCUAAAGGGCUAUACAUAAUGUAAUUUUGAUGAUAACAAACAUAUGUAUUGAGUGAUUUAAUAAAUAUUGUAUUUCACAUUUUUACUAGUUUUUGAAGGAUAAUAUUUAUACAAGUAAAUCAAGUGAAAUCAAGAUUGAAGACACUCAACGGACAAUGGCGACAUCAAGAAUAGUUUAGAGCUCAACGAACAAAUUAGUGCAAUAAAUUCUUGUAAAGCCGGUAUGAUUUAAUUGAUGUUUGAUUUAGCAUUUGAGAAGCUCAAGAAAUUAAUUUAAUUAAAUAAUUUUCAUAAACUAAAAGUUUUUGUUUUUAUAAAGAAAAGUAUUUUGUGAAUUUAAGUAAUUUGGACUUAAAUGCUAAGAUUUGAAAUCUUUGAUUUUAAUAAGUAUUAAAAUUCGGAGUUGGACGUUUUUACAAACAUUUGAAAUGUUUUGGGCCAUACUAUAAUUUAUGAAUAUUUUGGACUAAAGUGAAAGAUUUUGAGAACUUUGAAAAAUAUAGGUAUUAUGUUGAAAAGGACCUUUGUGUGAAACAAGAAAAUCUUUGGGGCCAUAUCAUAAUUUCAGAAAGUUUGAGAAAGACAUCUAUUUUUAUGAAGUUCUGAAAUUGGACCUAUUUGUAAAGUUUUCUGACGUUU
RNAcentral lists this long non-coding RNA (2432 nucleotides) under Citrus sinensis (sweet orange). RNAcentral describes it as "long non-coding RNA (CSIN_LNC004637)". Lineage: Eukaryota; Viridiplantae; Streptophyta; Magnoliopsida; Sapindales; Rutaceae. The record is from RNAcentral.